Molecule: transfer RNA, 58 nt
Filed under: Salmo salar (Atlantic salmon)
Lineage: Eukaryota; Metazoa; Chordata; Actinopteri; Salmoniformes; Salmonidae
Rfam family: tRNA
About the family: Transfer RNA (tRNA) molecules are approximately 80 nucleotides in length.
Source: Rfam by way of RNAcentral
UGGCUCAGUUGGUAGAGCAUGGUGUUUGCAUAGCCAGGGUUGUGGGUUCGAUUCCCAC